GCCGAUAUAGCUCAGUUGGUAGAGCAGCUGAUUUGUAAUCAGCCGGUCGUUGGUUCAAGUCCGACUAUCGGCUCCA
RNAcentral lists this transfer RNA (76 nucleotides) under Bacteroidales bacterium. Its description in RNAcentral is "tRNA-Thr". It matches the Rfam family "tRNA". From Rfam's summary of the family: Transfer RNA (tRNA) molecules are approximately 80 nucleotides in length. RNAcentral also lists the same sequence under 1 other name. Lineage: Bacteria; Pseudomonadati; Bacteroidota; Bacteroidia; Bacteroidales. The record is from RNAcentral.